CUACUCUUCAUUACUUUGAAAGUAUUUGUCAACACUGCUGGAAAAAAAUGAUCAAUGCUAUUUCUCUCUUUCUUUUAGAUUGAUUUUGAGGUAACAAGAUGACAGAGUUUCAAAGAAACAUAAAUGGGGACUCCAGUUGAAUAUAUAGGAUAUUUUCAUUCUAUCUGCCAUGUGUUAUAUGCCUGAUUCUAUGAAUUCAUCUUUUAUUUCUGUAUUCAUUUUAUAUUCUACAUUUUGCACCUGCCAAUUCCACUGUCUUGAGAGUUUGAGUAAGAUUGUUUCCUUGAGGCAAGAAAGAAAAGCAGAGGUCCUGACAAAUAAGAGGUAGCCUUAGGGGAAAGGAGCUACAGUAAACACUUAGAACUUCUUCCCUGAACUCAAUGACAACCUUUGAAAG
RNAcentral lists this long non-coding RNA (397 nucleotides) under Vulpes vulpes (red fox). Its description in RNAcentral is "lncRNA (ENSVVUG00000021806.1)". Lineage: Eukaryota; Metazoa; Chordata; Mammalia; Carnivora; Canidae. The record is from RNAcentral.